This 2878-nucleotide long non-coding RNA is filed under the name Nicotiana tabacum (common tobacco). Its description in RNAcentral is "long non-coding RNA (NTAB_LNC000722)". The record is from RNAcentral. Lineage: Eukaryota; Viridiplantae; Streptophyta; Magnoliopsida; Solanales; Solanaceae.
GAAUGGUGUAUCUAACUCUGCACAUUCGUUUGGUGGUCUAAUAUUCUGCACAAUGUGGUUUGCCAAAUCUUCAGGUAGAGUCAGAAAUAUUUUUUCCAAGUUCCACAUACCAUUUUCAACCAGAUCAUUAACAUUGUAAAUAUCCUCAUCGAUACCAAACUCUUCAGGCACUUGGAAAUAUAAGGCUCCCAGCUCAGUCCAAUUAUCGAACCAGAAUUGAGCAGAUCCCAUUCGCGGUUUCCUGUAGAUUUGAUGCUCAAUCAAGUCCCUACAUUCUAGCAUUUUUUUCCACACGUGGGAUCCACGCUUCCAAGGUAAAAUUACUGAAUUUAGUUUCUUGCAGUACCUUUGACUAAUAAAUGCACUCCAUAAACUGGGCUUUGUCCUGAAAUUCCACCACAAUUUAUAGAAUAGUGCCUUGGAUACAUCAUGUAGGGACCUGAAGCCUAUGCCUCCCUCCUCAUAAGGCAUACAAAGGUUAGUCCACGAUGACCAAUGUCUAGAGUUGCCUCCCACAUUGCUGCUCCAGAAGAAUUUUGCCAAAAUGCUAUGUAAUUUAUUAAUCACAUAAAUUGGUGGAUUAACUGCUGACAACAUAUGAAUUGGGAUACUCUGCAGGACAUUUGCGAUCAAUACAGCUCUGCCUCCUACAGAUAGGAGUUUGCCUUUCCACGACUGCAGUUUGUCCAUAACCUUAGUGAUUAAUCCCUGGUAAUAGUCUCCCCUUCUUCUUGCAUAAAAAAUAGGGCAGCCAAGAUAGGUCAUCGAGAAACAUUGUCUUCUUAUACCUGUAAUCCUUUCAACCUUGUUAAUCACCUCAUUGUCCGUUAAAUGAUACAGGUAUAUGGCUGAUUUUGCUUUGUUCACCAGUUGACCAGACAAUGAUUCAUAAGCUUGUAGAACCUCCAUCACAAGUCUCAGUGAAGUUUCAUCAGAUGAGCAGAAAAUGAUUGUAUCAUCAGCGCAUGACAAAUAAUUUAUUUUUGGGCUCCAUUUUGGCAUUACGAAUCCGCAGAAAUACAGGUUAGUGUGUAGUGAAUUCAAACCUCGUGACAGUGCUUUUACUGCUAGGAUGAAUAGGGUUGGUGACAAAGGGUCACCCUGCUUAACUCCCCUCGAUGAUUUGAAGAAACCAUUUGGCUGUCCAUUUAUAAGAAUAGAGUACCAAUUAUUCCCAAUCAAAUCAAAUAUCAAGACAAUAAAAUCUUCAGGAAAUCCCAUAUUCCUUAGCAUUUUGGUUAUGAAUAGCCAUGAUAACCUAUCGUAAGCUUUUGUCAUGUCAAGUUUAAUCACAACAUUUGGACCUGCUUUUGUUCUCAACCUGAUAUCCUUAAUGAUUUCUUGAGUUAACAGCACAUUCUCAACUAUGCUUCUUCCCUUCAGAAAACCUGCCUAUUCUUCCGAGAUUAUGCUCGGUAAAAAUUCAACCAGCCUUUCAUGAAUAACCCUUGAGAAAAGCUUAUUAACAAAGUUGCUAAGACUGAUUGGUCUCAUGUCUGCAAAGAUAAUCACUUCUUUUUUCUUUGGUAAUAAAACCAGGUUUGUGUGUGUCACACUCUUUGGCAGCUGCUGACCGCAAAAGAAAGCCCUGACCAUGCCGACUACAUCUUCUUCAAUGAUUUCCCAGCAUGUUUGGUAAAAGGCUCCAGUGAAACCAUCUGGUCCGCCUGCUGAGUCCCCAUUCAACCCCAUAACUGCUCUCUUCACUUCUUCAUUGGAAGGCAAAGCCAUCAAUCUCUCAUGUUGAUCUCUAUCUACCAUUGAAGGUACAUGAUUUAGAAUAUCAAAAUCAUUAGGCACUGCACUCUCAGUAAAUUGAUCCUUGUAGAACUUUACUGUUUCUUCUGCUAUUAAGUGAUCUUCUUCAAUCUAGUUACCAAGGCUAUUCUGGAUCCUUGAUAAUUUCAGUCUCUUCCUUCUCCCAUUAACCUGAGCAUGGAAGAAUUUAGUAUUUCUAUCGCCAUCUUUGAACCAUAACAUGCCAUCUUUUUGCCUCCAGAAUUCUUCUUCUAAUUCAAGUUAUUUAAUCAUUUCAGCUUGGACCUAUCGUAAUUUUUGUCUGUUCAUCUGUGUAGGAUUGACUUCAAAUUGUCUUUCAUGAACCAAGACCACCUCCUCAAGGCUUGCAAUAUUUUGGAAUAUAUCCCCAUAUGUAGUUCUGCUCUAGGUAGAUAGUGCUUGCUUAAGCUUCUUUACUUGUAGUUAAAAAUGCAGAAAGGGUUAGCACUAAAAUCAGCAUUCCAAUUCUCCUUCACUACCUCUUUAAGGAUUUCAUGCUUUUUCCAGAAGUUUAGAAAUCUGAAUGACUUCUUAAUUGGAGGAGUUUCUAUAUCACAUUUCAGCAACAUCGGGCAAUGAUCAGACCCAAUUUUGGAUAGGUGAGUUACCUCCAAUUCAGGAAAGGUCUGUUGCAAUUCAUUAUUGCCAAAACAUCUAUCCAAUCUUUUAAAAAUACAGUCCUCCUCUGAUCUUCCAUUCCACCAUGUAAAUGUGCUUCCUUUAAAUCCCAAAUCUGUCAAGUUGCAGGUAUUGAUGCAGUGUCUAAAGUCAUCUACUUCAAGGAGAGAAACUGGCAAGCCUCCAUACUUCUCUUCCUUGUCCCAUAUCACAUUAAAGUCGCCUCCAACUAGCCAUGGUACUGUCAUAUCUGAUGCCAUUGCAUACAAAGUAUCCCAUAGUUCAAUUCUUUCAAUGCAAUCACAUUUGGCAUAAACUAGUGCAAGGAUGAGCUCAACAUGUGUUUCAGUGUGCAUCAAUCUCAAAGUCAGAUGUUGAGUCAUGUUAUAUAGAAUAGUAACCUAAAACAUUUCAUCAAUAAAAUCCCAAAUCUUGUUUGACACAUUCACCACAGCCUAUGCCAAACCAAUUCUUGCUCUAU